This 635-nucleotide ribosomal RNA is filed under the name Stenotrophomonas sp. So3Pt_67. RNAcentral's name for it is "bacterial SSU rRNA". It matches the Rfam family "Bacterial small subunit ribosomal RNA", at positions 378 to 1004 of the family's 1533-position model. The record is from RNAcentral. Lineage: Bacteria; Pseudomonadati; Pseudomonadota; Gammaproteobacteria; Lysobacterales; Lysobacteraceae.
GCAGCCUGAUCCAGCCAUACCGCGUGGGUGAAGAAGGCCUUCGGGUUGUAAAGCCCUUUUGUUGGGAAAGAAAAGCAGUCGGCUAAUACCCGGUUGUUCUGACGGUACCCAAAGAAUAAGCACCGGCUAACUUCGUGCCAGCAGCCGCGGUAAUACGAAGGGUGCAAGCGUUACUCGGAAUUACUGGGCGUAAAGCGUGCGUAGGUGGUUGUUUAAGUCUGUUGUGAAAGCCCUGGGCUCAACCUGGGAAUUGCAGUGGAUACUGGGCGACUAGAGUGUGGUAGAGGGUAGUGGAAUUCCCGGUGUAGCAGUGAAAUGCGUAGAGAUCGGGAGGAACAUCCAUGGCGAAGGCAGCUACCUGGACCAACACUGACACUGAGGCACGAAAGCGUGGGGAGCAAACAGGAUUAGAUACCCUGGUAGUCCACGCCCUAAACGAUGCGAACUGGAUGUUGGGUGCAAUUUGGCACGCAGUAUCGAAGCUAACGCGUUAAGUUCGCCGCCUGGGGAGUACGGUCGCAAGACUGAAACUCAAAGGAAUUGACGGGGGCCCGCACAAGCGGUGGAGUAUGUGGUUUAAUUCGAUGCAACGCGAAGAACCUUACCUGGUCUUGACAUGUCGAGAACUCUCCAGA